RNAcentral lists this non-coding RNA (31 nucleotides) under Mus musculus (house mouse). The record is from RNAcentral. Lineage: Eukaryota; Metazoa; Chordata; Mammalia; Rodentia; Muridae.
UAAGAGUUGGUCCUUCAGCAUGUGGUUGCAA